UGUUCGUUUCGUCUCCGCUACUUCGUCUACUAGAUGAAUGGACCUUGCGUUCUGAGAAGUGUCUAAAGAGUCUCUAAUAAUGUUCACAUUUUUAUGGUGAUAAAAUAUACCUAAAUAUUCGAAGAAAGAAAAAAGAUCAUAAAUAUAAUAAUUCUGGCAUAUAAAGGAAGGUAUGGAUAUGGGGAAAAUUCUAAAAAUUGAAAUUUAUUAUUGUGCUGAAAUAGUCAUAUGCAUGAGUGUUUUUAAAUUUUGAUUGGACCCUUUAAAAUAAAAUCAAUUGCACAUUUAUGUAUUGAAAGGACACAAAAUUAAAAACUUACAUGACUAUUUCAACAAUCAAUAUGCGGCAUCAUCAUCUCAUCACCAGAAUGCACGAGGGCAAGGAAAAGGCAUGCGUCACAUCACAAUCAGCUUCUGCAGUGCGGAAAGGAGUCGCAGGACAAUGCUGAGAGGCUGCUGUCAGGACGGACAAAAGCGCUUAUCUUUUUGCAUACGCUAUAUAUGUAACAGCCUGGUUUGCCAUGUCUCGCCCGUGCUGCGCAUCCAAGAAUAUAGCGGGAACAUACGCUAAAUGCGAGCUUUCUGCUUCAAAGGACAUAACCGAAAGUUAUCAAUGAUAACUGUGAUAUCAAAGCAAAUAUAAUACACCACUGUGUGUCAAAAUAAAAGGAAAAUACGUUAUAAGUAAGCUAAAAUUGAA
This 700-nucleotide long non-coding RNA is filed under the name Acromyrmex echinatior (Panamanian leafcutter ant). RNAcentral describes it as "uncharacterized LOC105150347, transcript variant X2". The record is from RNAcentral. Lineage: Eukaryota; Metazoa; Arthropoda; Insecta; Hymenoptera; Formicidae.